RNAcentral lists this ribosomal RNA (1348 nucleotides) under uncultured bacterium. RNAcentral describes it as "bacterial SSU rRNA". It matches the Rfam family "Bacterial small subunit ribosomal RNA", at positions 42 to 1383 of the family's 1533-position model. The record is from RNAcentral.
ACAGGCUUAACACAUGCAAGUCGAGGGGCUUUGCAGUGUAGCAAUACAUGGGCGGCGACCGGCGCACGGGUGCGUAACGCGUAUCCAACCUUCCCGUUACUCUUGGAUAGCCUUCCGAAAGGGAGAUUAAUACAGGAUGGUAUUCAAAUUCCGUAUGUUAUUUGAAUUAAAGAUUUAUCGGUAACGGAUGGGGAUGCGUGACAUUAGAUAGAUGGCGGGGUAACGGCCCACCAUGUCUACGAUGUCUAGGGGUUCUGAGAGGAAGGUCCCCCACACUGGUACUGAGACACGGACCAGACUCCUACGGGAGGCAGCAGUGAGGAAUAUUGGUCAAUGGGCGAGAGCCUGAACCAGCCAAGUCGCGUGAGGGAAGACGGCCCUACGGGUUGUAAACCUCUUUUGUCAGGGAGCAAAAGGCGGUACGCGUACCGCAAAGAAGAGUACCUGAAGAAAAAGCAUCGGCUAACUCCGUGCCAGCAGCCGCGGUAAUACGGAGGAUGCGAGCGUUAUCCGGAUUUAUUGGGUUUAAAGGGUGCGUAGGCGGAAUGCCAAGUCAGCGGUAAAAUUACGGGGCUCAACCUCGCCGAGCCGUUGAAACUGGUGUUCUUGAGUGGAAGAGAAGUAUGCGGAAUGUGUGGUGGAGCGGUGAAAUGCAUAGAUAUCACGCAGAACUCCGAUUGCGAAGGCAGCGUACCGGCUUCCAACUGACGCUGAAGCACGAAAGCGUGGGUAUCGAACAGGAUUAGAUACCCUGGUAGUCCACGCAGUAAACGAUGAAUGCUAGCUGUUUGUGUCGAUUGAGGCAUGAGUGGCACAGCGGAAGCGUUAAGCAUUCCACCUGGGGAGUACGCCGGCAACGGUGAAACUCAAAGGAAUUGACGGGGGCCCGCACAAGCGGAGGAACAUGUGGUUUAAUUCGAUGAUACGCGAGGAACCUUACCCGGGCUCAAACGCACUAUGAAUGGCGAUGAAAGUUGUCAGUCAGCAAUGACAUAGUGCGAGGUGCUGCAUGGUUGUCGUCAGCUCGUGCCGUGAGGUGUCGGCUUAAGUGCCAUAACGAGCGCAACCCCUAUCGACAGUUGCUAACUAUAAAAGUAGAGGACUCUGUUGAGACUGCCGGCGCAAGCUGCGAGGAAGGCGGGGAUGACGUCAAAUCAGCACGGCCCUUACGUCCGGGGCGACACACGUGUUACAAUGGCAGGUACAGCGGGAAGCCACCUGGUGACAGGGAGCAGAACCCGAAAGCCUGUCUCAGUUCGGAUUGGAGUCUGCAACUCGACUCCAUGAAGCUGGAUUCGCUAGUAAUCGCGCAUCAGCCGUGGCGCGGUGAAUACGUUCCCGGGCCUUG